Molecule: long non-coding RNA, 438 nt
Organism: Monomorium pharaonis (pharaoh ant)
Lineage: Eukaryota; Metazoa; Arthropoda; Insecta; Hymenoptera; Formicidae
Exons: 3
Source: RefSeq, a predicted model, not a curated record
GGUAGUUGCCAUCAGUAUGAGCCACCGUGAUGAGAGUUUUGAUGGUGUCGAUGUUCUUUGCCUUCAUCUCGGUAAUAGGAGAAUUGGCCGUCAACAAAGUGAAUCUCGCCAGAGCUUGCACAGCUUUUCAAAUUCAUUUUUCUUAAAAAGCUGUGAUGUGAUUUCUACUUAUGAAUUUGGAAUUAGUGCCGUGUCGGAAUCAAGGACCGUGGAAAAUUGUUUUUCUUCAAACAAAAAAAAAAUUACGGAUUUGUCUAAUCUAAAAUGGCCGUUAACAUAAAACACACGUGCAGCACGCACGCACAUCUCUCACCUGAUACCAUCUAAGCAGAGCGACGCGAUCUCCGGGUCGUCGCAAUCUUGAAGUCCGACGCUGAAGGCCGCGAGAAACGGUGUCCAAGCCAUCUUGAACAUCGGCCUCACAUGUUCCAGAUGCUU